AUGCAGACUAAGAUUAAAUGUGAGAAGAGGGGUUUAGAAGCUGAAUCAGAACUUGAAGAUUCAGAGCACCAUGUGAGAUGCUUGGAGGUGCUUGGAGAUGACCUAGAACUUGUGCUGAAAGGCAGCUCCAGGAUCAAGCUGCACAUGAGGUGUUUCGUGAAGACUACAGCAGCCCUCUUGCAGGCAUGAGGGAGAAGCUACACAGAGAAAUAGAUCCAAAAGCCGG
RNAcentral lists this long non-coding RNA (226 nucleotides) under Sus scrofa (pig). RNAcentral describes it as "lncRNA (ENSSSCG00030014048.1)". The record is from RNAcentral. Lineage: Eukaryota; Metazoa; Chordata; Mammalia; Artiodactyla; Suidae.